AAUCAACGCUGGCGGCGUGCCUCAGACAUGCAAGUCGAACGAUUAAACUUUCCUUCGGGAAAGAUAUAAAGUGGCGCACGGGUGAGUAACACGUAAGUAAUCUACCUUCGAGUGGGGAAUAACGUUCGGAAACGAACGCUAAUACCGCAUAAUGCAGCGGCACCUAAUGGUGACAGUUGUUAAAGGAGCAAUUCGCUUGAAGAGGAGCUUGCGGCAGAUUAGCUAGUUGGUAAGGAACGGCUUACCAAGGCUACGAUCUGUAACCGGUCUAAGAGGACGGUCGGUCACACUGACACUGAAUAACGGGUCAGACUCCUACGGGAGGCAGCAGUCGGGAAUAUUGGGCAAUGGGCGCAAGCCUGACCCAGCCACGCCGCGUGAGUGAUGAAGG
This 391-nucleotide ribosomal RNA is filed under the name uncultured bacterium. RNAcentral's name for it is "bacterial SSU rRNA". It matches the Rfam family "Bacterial small subunit ribosomal RNA", at positions 32 to 414 of the family's 1533-position model. The record is from RNAcentral.